ACGCUGGCGGCGUGCCUAAUACAUGCAAGUAGAACGCUGAAGGAGGAGCUUGCUCCUCUGGAUGAGUUGCGAACGGGUGAGUAACGCGUAGGUAACCUGCCUGGUAGCGGGGGAUAACUAUUGGAAACGAUAGCUAAUACCGCAUAACAGUAGAUGUUGCAUGACAUUUGCUUAAAAGGUGCAAUUGCAUCACUACCAGAUGGACCUGCGUUGUAUUAGCUAGUUGGUGGGGUAACGGCUCACCAAGGCGACGAUACAUAGCCGACCUGAGAGGGUGAUCGGCCACACUGGGACUGAGACACGGCCCAGACUCCUACGGGAGGCAGCAGUAGGGAAUCUUCGGCAAUGGACGGAAGUCUGACCGAGCAACGCCGCGUGAGUGAAGAAGGUUUUCGGAUCGUAAAGCUCUGUUGUAAGAGAAGAACAGGUGUGAGAGUGGAAAGUUCACACUGUGACGGUAUCUUACCAGAAAGGGACGGCUAACUACGUGCCAGCAGCCGCGGUAAUACGUAGGUCCCGAGCGUUGUCCGGAUUUAUUGGGCGUAAAGCGAGCGCAGGCGGUUAGAUAAGUCUGAAGUUAAAGGCUGUGGCUUAACCAUAGUACGCUUUGGAAACUGUUUAACUUGAGUGCAAGAGGGGAGAGUGGAAUUCCAUGUGUAGCGGUGAAAUGCGUAGAUAUAUGGAGGAACACCGGUGGCGAAAGCGGCUCUCUGGCUUGUAACUGACGCUGAGGCUCGAAAGCGUGGGGAGCAAACAGGAUUAGAUACCCCUGGUAGUCCACGCCGUAAACGAUGAGUGCUAGGUGUUAGACCCUUUCCGGGGUUUAGUGCCGCAGCUAACGCAUUAAGCACUCCGCCUGGGGAGUACGACCGCAAGGUUGAAACUCAAAGGAAUUGACG
RNAcentral lists this ribosomal RNA (899 nucleotides) under uncultured bacterium. RNAcentral describes it as "bacterial SSU rRNA". It matches the Rfam family "Bacterial small subunit ribosomal RNA", at positions 33 to 915 of the family's 1533-position model. The record is from RNAcentral.